This 6489-nucleotide long non-coding RNA is filed under the name Homo sapiens (human). RNAcentral's name for it is "PREDICTED lncRNA (TCONS_00081112)". Lineage: Eukaryota; Metazoa; Chordata; Mammalia; Primates; Hominidae. The record is from RNAcentral.
UUUGCCCGCAGGCCCCCAUGUGACAGAGGCUCUUACAAAAGAGUUUGUUUACAUGCAUCAAGUUACCAACAUUUUCCAAGAAAUUAGGGUGUUGACCAAUACAAUCUCAUUGAGAUGGGGUUAUGAGAGUGGUCCCUAAUUCAGUAUGACUGUAUUCUUAUAGAAAGAAGGGAAUUUGAAGGCAGACACACACAGGAAGGGGAACACAUUUAGAAGAUAGAGAUACAGAUUAGAUUUGUGCAAUGGCAAGCCAAGAAAUACCAACGGUUGAUGACGCUAUGGUGUGAAGAUUUGUCUCCUCCAAAACUCAUGUUGAAAUGUAAUCCCCAAGGUAGCAGUAUGGAGAGGUAGAGCCUUGAAGAGGUGAUUGGUCUGCCCUCAUGAAUGGAUUAAUCCAUUGAUGGAUCAAUGGGUUAAUGGAUUAUCAUAGGAGGGGAACGGGUGGCUUUAUAUUAGGAGGAAGAGAUACCUGGGCUAACAUGCUCCACUUCCUCAUCAUGUGAUGUCCUGUGCUACCAUGAGACUCUACAGAGUUCCCAGCAGCAAGAAGGCCCUGAGCAGAUAUGGCCCUCUGACCUUGGACUUCUCAGCCUCCGUGACUAAGCCACUGAGACAGUGGUGGGGCAGCCACCUUCUCGUUCUUCUUCUUCUUCCUGCUUUCCCUCAGAGAUGGACUCUUAAUAAGAUAUCUCAGAAGCUGGACUGGCCUAACUGGAAUGAAGAAGGAGAAGUCAACAUUUGGGAAGUGUUUACCAUGGACCAGGAGUCUCCGGAAACUCGAAGAUUACAAGCAGAAAACUAGCCUGAUACACUUAGCAUAUGCAAAUGCUGUGCCAGAGAGACCACCAAAGCUUGGAUUCCUCCUUCUGACUCUCCAGAGAUAUAUAGGGGCAAGCCUUUCAACCAGGGCAGAAGGAUUGUAAGUAUCUCAGCAUCUCGAGUACAUAAAACCUAACUAGCAUUCUGCUCCAAGCCAGUUCGACCUCAUCAAAACACCCCUGGGGUGAGCUGUGAUUCCUGGGAGCCCGUCCUCCCUCAAGACAACAGAAAGUGCUUCCUCCUGUGCCUCUCAGGAGUGCCAUGUCCAUUGCUCCGCCUUACCAAGAACAAGCAAAGCCUGAGAACAGGAUUUGCAAAUAAGGGAGGGGGAAUGGAGGCCUAAGGAAAGUGGAAAGAGAGUUAAGAAAGGAAGAUGGAAGAUUCAGGGGCUGGAGGAUAGGAACUGAAGACUGAGCAGCAAACAGGAAGAAAGAGAAGGGAGGCAGGGAACCCAGCAGAGGGACAGGCAGACAAUAAGCCCGAGGCAGGAGGAAAAGGGAAAAGCCCAUGGUGCUAGUUUGAGGCACUGCACCUUGUUUGAAUUCCUAAAUUUAUCAUUUCUACUAAAUGUAACUGGAACUUACUAUACAUUUACCAGACAAGCCACUGUACUUUGCAGUAUCCUUGAGAGAUGGAGGUGGACGGAGGGACUGUUACUUUUUGCCAUCAUGAGGAGGACACGGACUCUCGGACAAGAUAAUCCUCCUGAAGCUACUUGAGAGUGAAGUGCAGACCUAGGGCCCUGGAUUCUAGAGCCCAGAACCACCAGCUGGCCUGGACUUCCAACCUCCAAAUUCAGGCCUGUUCUCACCCAGCUCAGGCACAUAGUCAAACUCAAAGGCGUGAAAAUCAAUUAGAACACGUGAGGGAAGAUGGUUCUCAGUCUGAACCAGACACACCAAUGAAUGGACUUGGAGGCCAGGCCAGGUCCCAAAUGCCUCCGCACCCCGCCGAUAUUUCUUUUGUAUAUUACAAGCCAGCAAAAUUAACGUCUGCUUGGAAAUCACACAGAGGAGGCUGGUGUGACUGCAACUCUAGCAAUGAAUGCACUUAGCAAUUCUGUAAUUUAUCAUUUGACCACUAAUAUAUGGCUAGCAGGAGGAAACAAGUGCUGGGGACUAGACACAGUUAAAUCAGAACAAGCGUCCAUCCUUCAGAAGCUUACCACGUGGUAAAAGACUUAACGUAUGUGUUCAAGUAUCUUUUUUUUUUUUUUUUUUUUUUUUCUGAGACAUGGUCUCACUCUCUCACCCAGACUGGACUGUAGUGGCUUGAUCUCCGCUCACCGCAACCUCAGCUUCCCAGGCUCAAGUGAAUCUCCUGCCUCAGCCUCCUGAGUAGCUGGGAUUACAGGCACACACCACCACUCCUGGCAAAUUUUUAUAUUUUUAGUAGAGAUGAGGUUUCACCAUGUUUGCCAGGCUGAUCUCGAACUCCUGACUUCAAAUGAUCCACCUGCCUUGGCCUCCCAAAAUGCUGGAAUUACAGGCAUGAGCCACUACUCCCAGCUAGUUCAAAUAUCUCUUUUAAAAGAUUUUUAAAAAGGAAUGAGAAAGGAAAGUCUGUGUGGUUUUUGUUAAUGAAGCAUAAGCUUCAGUGCUGGCCUGGCAUCUUUAACAGAUCAGCUUUGAAGUCGAAUCAACCUUGUAGAUCCUCAGUUUUCUCAUCUAUAAAAUGGAGCAAGCAAGAGUCAUGACACUCAGAUGCUGCGCAGACUCCAGGUGAUCCUGCGGUAUACUCGAUAUGCCUGGCAUAUCAUCAGGGGUCCCACACAUGCACAAGUUUCCCUUUCAUUCCAAACAGGGAAUGUUCUUUCCAGUUUUAAGUUAAUGCUAUUUCCUCAUCUGCAUUUUUUUUCUCUUCCAUUCUUAAUAAGUUGAGUAAGAGGGACAGUGAACUGGAAAGGGAAAACGUGAAAAUGCCGAGAAUUCUGAAAAUACAUCUUUCCAAAUUGUGCAGCUUGGUGUUGGCAAGAUGACAAGGGCCCCGGAAACCGGGUGCAAACACAGCACAGCAAAAUCACGCAGCUUGCGUGUGCAAUAUAUGUAUGUUACAUGCCAACUGCUGAACAAGUGCUUUUAAACAAAUGACAAAUAUGAUACGAUGCUCUGAGGAUCAGGCCAAGUGAACGCAAGGGUUUUCAAGAUUCAGAUGUGGACACGAGGUUCCUCUCGUUCCCGCCCACCAGCCCUUGCCAAGCCCGAGACCCCAACAUAACACUCCUUUUGCCUCAACCUUUCUAUCUGCGGCACCACACACAUGCACACACCAUCAAGCAAUCACAACUCCACCCCUCAUGUUAAGCCUGUAGGCUGUAGAAUAUCGGCCAGCACAUUAUUUUCCCAAUCAAUUUACAAACUUAACUAAUAAUUUAAUUCGCCGCAUGACAAAUCCACUAGCUCAUGCCGAAAGCAACUCAAAUGGAACGGCCAUAAAAUUCCCUUCUACGCCUUUGCUUGAUGCCAUCGUUAAAAAAGAGAAGGGAUGACAAAGUGAAAGGGAAAGUGCAGUGAUUCUUUUAUGUGAAGAUUACAUUUAAAAAUAACCGACUAACCGUCUGCACUUUUCGGGGGCCUGACGUCUCGAAACGCAUUUAGAUUGAUGCAGGCUGGGGCUGACGUUCUCGUGCUGAGUAAACAGUCAAGUGUUCUUAAUAGGAAUUGCAGUUUCUCGACAUCUGUUAGGGAAAAGGGAAUGGCGAAACAACAAUUUAGAGUGAGAUUGGUUUUGUUAAAUGCAUUUAAAUUCCAAGAUUAGUGGUGUUCUUUCUUUUUCAAUUAGCAUUUACUUGUAGAAAGGUUACAGAUGAAAGGGCUGGGGAAGAGAUCGGGUGGAUUUUUUUCCUUACUGAGAGGACACUCCAAAGCAUAGUAAAGCUAAAAUAGGAAGAGAACGUAAGACUUAAAGGAACUUAAAACUGAUGCCAAAUUGAGAUUGCAAAUCUUGAAGGGAAAGCAUUUAAAAUAAAAUAAAAUAAAAAUAAAGUGAAGUUGAGUCUGGAUUUGAUGAUCCUGUCCUCUGGACAGAAAAAUCAUAAAUUGCUUUGAGAAAAUACAGGGAUUUCUAUUUUCCAAGCCAGUUACUAAGCAAAAUUUGUGUUAUUUCUCAAAUAUAUGCCAUGGUUCUGUGUGAGUGUGUAAAGAGCUGUAACUAGCUCACUUUUUUUUUUUUUGAUAGAAACAUAAACAGAGACGAAAAAUGUAGGGAAUGUUUCACCUGUUUUACUGCCAUUAAAUAAACCUCAUCUGCUACCAAGCUGUUUUGGGUGACAUUUGCUAAAUAAAUACAUUUUGUGGGAGACUUGAACACUGAAGCACAGAGACAUGCAACCGAUGUUCUCAGAUGAAUCCUGUUUGCUUCUCAGUGCCUAUACCCCUACCCCAGGGGGAGAGUGAAGUGGUAAAUUCAGGUUUAUGUUUUCACAUUGGUAGUUUAUUUUCAAACGUACACAGCUACAACAAAAAGUACAUGCUUUUAUUACCAGCGUUUCUUGUAAUUCUCUCUCUCUUUCUGCCCCCUAACCCAAUUUUCCCCUCUCCCUCACUACCUUCCUCCCUCCCUCCACAAAUACCUUUAUUGCUUUUUUUUUAACUGGGGAGUAUUCACUAUUUCUUUACACUUCUAUAUGGAUUUCACUUUUAAAAAAUCUAUCAGCAUGCAUAUUUCGUGCAUGUCUGAAACCUUUAAAAUAUUGUUUGAUCUUCAUGAUUAUUUAAAAAUAUGUAUAUUGAGUAUUUGCUUAAGGUAAAGCCAUUGCUGCCAUUUCCAAUUAAAAAACUAAUAAAUGUAUUUUAAAAGAAUGUCUGCCAAGACUGUUCUCUGACAAAGUAUCUCUGUGGAUAUUUAAAUGGCACCAAGAUGGAUUACUGUUUCUGAUUAUUUCUCAUGUAGGGUCUCAGUGAUUUUGCAGAAAUCGUAAUUGAAGAAAAUGAUGGAAAGGAAGCUUUGAAUAUGGAGUGUUGUUAUUGCACUGACUGGACAACCAGAUGGAGCUAUUCCCAGUCCCCAGCACACAGAUAGAGAAUCUAUUCGACAAUAACUAAAGAGGUGUACAGUUCUAGAACAUUCUGCAACCAGACUUCAGGCACCAGGAGGCCUCCGUAGGCAGGGUUCCUCGGGCUUCUCAGCUGGCUUCCUUGGAGAAAUUUCAUAUGCUGAUUCCUUUCAAUUAUCUGUCAAUUUUCAAAAUGCAAAUAGAAACAUGCAGUCAUCACUUUGGUACUCACCAGCUGAUUUCUUCCAAGCACCCAGACCAUAAGUGAAUGCAGUUCAAUAUGUUCUCUUCCUUUUUUUAAGUGGAGUUAAUAUUACUGAGCAGAUUUUGGUUAGCUUCCAGGAACCCAGUGUGUGGAGAGGCAGAAUUUUAUUUUAGAAGCACAAGUUGGUUUGAAAAAUGUGAACUUACCCCAACUCUUUCUUUGUUUCAUCUUUCUUACUAGACAUGUUUUAUUUUCCUAAAGAAAACAUAAAUAAAAACAAAAAAAAAUUCUUCAUUGAUACACACACACACACACACACACACACACAUACACAAUUUAGGUCAAAUUAUUUUUACUACUUAGGAUGUCUUUAGUUAUUUUACAUAUUUAUAACACAGAAAAAAAGUAAGAAGAAAAGGAAAAAUGGUGUAUAAUCUUAAGACCAGGAGAUAACCAAUAAUAAAUAUUUUGCUAUAAUUUCUUUUCAUAUUCUAUGCAUAUACAUUUUAUGGAAUUGAGUUCACACUGUUCACAUAAUUUUGCUUUCUCUAUUUUGCCUUUACCUUUAUCAAUAAGCAUUUUCUUUAUAUCCUUAAAAUUUCUUUAUUAACGUAACCUAAUACAUAUGCACAAAAUGUUACCUAAUCAUUCGCCUGUUUAAGGGCAUUUGGUAAUUUCCAAUAUUUUUUCCUUCACGAUUUCGGGUAAUGUUUAAAUAAACCAAUUUAUGGAAAAGAGCUACCUAUGUUGGAUUACUUGCUUAGAAUGAAUUCCUGGAAAUAGAAUUACUGGGUCAAAGGGUACCAACAUAUUUAAUGUCCCCAAAGGCAUAUUGGCAAAUUGCCUUCCAUACAAAUUAUACCAAUUCCCCCUCUGUAACUAGUAUAUAAAAGUGCCUGUUUCACAGUAUCUCCCCUGCUCCAAGAUCUUGUAAAAUCUCUGCAAAUUUGAAAAAUGAAAAAAAUGAUAACUGUUGCCUGGAACAAUUUGUUAAAAGAUGCACUGAGCAAUACAUUUAUUUUUAAAAUUUUUCAUCUCACAAAGAAAUAUAAAAGCUUAUACACAGGAUGUUUUCUGACCAAUAAAUGCUAAAAAGCCAUAAUGUUUCAUCAUACAUAGUAGAUUAUUUUGUUCGAAAACCUAUUACAUUUUGCAUGCUGCUAUAGCAGUCUUUCUAGUCCAGAAAACACUUCACUAAAACAGCAACAAUAUCAGUUUACUGCAUAAGAUUGCCGGCAGCUCACACUAGAUUCUAAACACGAUUGAAUAGGCAUCUUUAAGAGUGGAAUAUCCAUGACUUAUCUUGCCAGGCUUGGUACUAUGCCAGUGGAGAAGGUGGAUGGUGCCAUUGUUAUUUGGGCAGCCAUGCCGAUCUCAAGGAGGAAAGCUGAAAUUGUUUGAAAACCUGGUUUAAGACAGUCUUUUUGAGAUUUAGCCCUAGAGAACACUCAACUAAACAACCAAGAGAGGC